GUUUAAUUAGCACAAGUUUACCUAGAAGAGGUAGUAAGACUUCAUGGAGUCCCUACUAGUAUUGUGUCAGACAGAGACCCACGAUUCACUUCGAGAUUUUGGAACAGUUUCCAAGAGGCUAUGGGCACUAAGGUACGAUUAAGUACGGCUUAUCAUUUUUAGACCGAUGGACAAUCAGAGAGAACGAUACAAACAUUGGAGGAUAUGUUACAUGCUUGUGUAUUGGAUUGGGGAGGAGAUUGAGAUCACCACUUACCACUUGUGGAAUUUGCUUACAACAACAGUUUUCAUUCAAGUAUCGGGAUGUCACCCUUUGAAGCGUUAUAUGGAAGACCUUGUAAGACGCCUCUUUGCUGGACAGAAGUUGGGGAAAGACGAUUGUUGGGUCCUGAUAUCGUGGAUGAAACCACAACAAAGAUUAAGAUUAUUCAGAAACAAAUGAAAGCAGCACAGGAUAGACAGAAAAGUUACGCAGAUAAGCACAGAGUGACUUGACCUUCCAAGAGAAUGAUGAAGUAUUUCUCAAAGUCCAAGCAACUAAAGGAAAGACCCGUUUUGGGAUGGUUGAGAAGCUAAAACCUAGAUUCAUUGGAUCUUUCAAGGUAUUGAGUAAGAUAGGGGCAGUGGCUUAUAAGGUUGCCUUACCCCCCGAGUUGGCACAAGUUCAUGAUGUGUUUCACGUGUCCAUGCUUCGAAAGUACCAUCCUGACCCUGAUCAUGUUAUUGAUUAUCAACCGCUUGAGUUAAAACCAGAUGAGACUUAUGAAGAAGAACCUAUCGAGAUUGUUGAACGAAAGGUUAAACAACUGCGGAGAAGAGAAAUACCUCUAGUAAAGGUCGCAUGGACACACCACAAAGGAGGAGAUGCGACUUGGGAAUUGGAGGACGAUAUGAAGACUCGUUAUCCCCACCUUUUUCGUAAGAAAUCGUACAUACUAUAGGUCGUUCUAGAAUUCGGGACGAAUUCUUCUUUUAAGGGUGGUGAAAUUAUAAUAAACGAAUUUAAAAAAAAUAAAGUUUGGGGGGUCAAGUGAUAAAAUUAAAAAGUUCUAGAAAAAUCUGUUAUUUCAUGGAGGACCUUUUAGUACGAAAUAAAAGUUUGGAAAAAAUUUGUAAAUUUCAAAAAAUAUAGGACUGGACUGCAAUUUCGCUAGGGUUUCUUCUUCUUCUUCCUUCUCCUCCUUCCAUGGCCGAACCAAAAAGCUCCCAAACAAGAUUUUUGCUCCGAUUUGAGUCCUUGGACAUCUUUGAACGCCGAUCACCAUCCUAUUGCCACCGCCCCAUCACCGUUGGUGAAGAAAAUCUCGAGGUUAUUGAACCCGGGAUCGAGGAUUAGAGCGAAUCUUUCAGGGUUAAUCGUUUAGACCAAGGUGAAAGGUGAAGCAGAUCAAGUGGUAGGACUUGGUAGUUGCAAGAGACACGAUGUUUUAGAUUUUUAUUUUUAUGAGUUCAGUAUUUUUAGACUUAUGUUAGGCUUUCAUUAUUGAGACUUCCGCUGCAGAUUUUGAGAUGAUAGUAUGGUAUUAAGAAUAAACCGAAUCUUUCUUUUUAAAACCUAAGUGACGAUUCAAUGGUUUCCGAAAUACCGGAUUUUGGGUCGUUACAAAAUGUAUAUUGAAAAUAAAGGUUAGACGGGUCAAGUCAUAUGGGAGUUUAGGUUUGGUAAAUAUCGCU
Molecule: long non-coding RNA, 1674 nt
Organism: Tarenaya hassleriana
Lineage: Eukaryota; Viridiplantae; Streptophyta; Magnoliopsida; Brassicales; Cleomaceae
Exons: 3
Source: RefSeq, a predicted model, not a curated record